This is a non-coding RNA of Rattus norvegicus (Norway rat), 69 nucleotides long. The record is from Rfam. NCBI's taxonomy places the organism in Eukaryota, Metazoa, Chordata, Mammalia, Rodentia, Muridae.
GGGGAUUUAGCUCAGUGGUAGAGCGCUUGCCUAGGAAGCGCAAGGCCCUGGGCUCGAUCCCCAGCUCCG